AGUGAACGCUGGCGGUAGGCCUAACACAUGCAAGUCGAACGGCAGCACAGUAAGCGCUUGCUCUUACGGGUGGCGAGUGGCGGACGGGUGAGGAAUACAUCGGCAUCUACUUUUUCGUGGGGGAUAACGUAGGGAAACUUACGCUAAUACCGCAUAAGACCUACGGGUGAAAGCAGGGGAUCUUCGGACCUUGCGCGAUUGAAUGAGCCGAUGUCGGAUUAGCUAGUUGGCUGGGUAAAGGCCCACCAAGGCGACGAUACGUAGCUGGUCUGAGAGGAUGAUCAGCCACACUGGAACUGAGACACGGUCCAGACUCCUACGGGAGGCAGCAGUGGGGAAUAUUGGACAAUGGGCGAAAGCCUGAUCCAGCAAUGCCGCGUGGGUGAAGAAGGCCUUCGGGUUGUAAAGCCCUUUUGUUGGGAAAGAAAAGCAGCAGGUUAAUACCUCGCUGUUUUGACGGUACCCAAAGAAUAAGCACCGGCUAACUUCGUG
This 492-nucleotide ribosomal RNA is filed under the name uncultured bacterium. RNAcentral's name for it is "partial 16S ribosomal RNA". It matches the Rfam family "Bacterial small subunit ribosomal RNA", at positions 29 to 507 of the family's 1533-position model. The record is from RNAcentral.